CAGGCUCCGCGCAGGGCUCGCCAGGCGGGCAGGCGCACGGGGGACACCUGCGAGCCUGGAGGUGGCGGAGGGUGCGAACCCGGCGGCGCGGCCAAACCUGCGCUGGCUGCCUGGGCCUCCUGGGCCAGGAGCUGGCACUGGGGGCGGCGGCGGUGUGGGAAAGUGGCGCCGCGGUGGGGCCUCCUGGAUGUGUCGGCGGAGGUGGCUUCAGUCCCGCGGAGCCCAGGCUUCAGGGAUGGUCAGCACGUUCCUUCCUGAGCCUUGGGCCCCUGCGAGAAGGAGAAGAGGAGAGCGGAGAUCUUCAGCAGAAAGGAAGACAUGGUGCUGGUGGCUGGACCCUCCGUGGCCAUGCUUUCACCAAUUCUCGGGAUGCCCAUAGGGAUGGGUGAAGCCCGCCUGGCCUGUGGUGCUCCCCAGUGGCCGUCAUCUCACUAG
Molecule: long non-coding RNA, 435 nt
Filed under: Piliocolobus tephrosceles (Ugandan red Colobus)
Lineage: Eukaryota; Metazoa; Chordata; Mammalia; Primates; Cercopithecidae
Description: lncRNA (ENSPTEG00000013588.1)
Source: RNAcentral